GUCGGGAAUUUUGGGCAAUGGGCGAAAGCCUGACCCAGCAACGCCGCGUGAGGGAUGAAGUAUUUCGGUAUGUAAACCUCGAAAGAAUGGGAAGAAUAAAUGACGGUACCAUUUAUAAGCUCCGGCUAACUACGUGCCAGCAGCCGCGGUAAUACGUAGGGAGCAAGCGUUGUUCGGAUUUACUGGGCGUAAAGGGCGCGUAGGCGGCGCGGUAAGUCACUUGUGAAAUCUCUGAGCUUAACUCAGAACGGCCAAGUGAUACUGCUGUGCUAGAGUGCGGAAGAGGCAACCGGAAUUCUUGGUGUAGCGGUGAAAUGCGUAGAUAUCAAGAGGAACACCUGAGGCGAAGGCGGGUUGCUGGGCCGACACUGACGCUGAUGCGCGAAAGCCAGGGGAGCAAGCG
RNAcentral lists this ribosomal RNA (403 nucleotides) under uncultured bacterium. Its description in RNAcentral is "bacterial SSU rRNA". It matches the Rfam family "Bacterial small subunit ribosomal RNA", at positions 354 to 774 of the family's 1533-position model. The record is from RNAcentral.